Molecule: ribosomal RNA, 490 nt
Filed under: uncultured bacterium
Lineage: Bacteria
Description: partial 16S ribosomal RNA
Rfam family: Bacterial small subunit ribosomal RNA
Source: RNAcentral
AUUGAACGCUGGCGGCAGGCUUAACACAUGCAAGUCGAGCGGUAGCACAGGGGUGCUUGCUCCCUGGGUGGCGAGCGGCGGGCGGAUGAGCAAUGUCUGGGAAACUGCCUGAUGGAGGGGGAUAACUACUGGGAACGGUAACUAAUACCGCAUAACGUGGGAAGACCGAAGAGGGUGGCCUUCCGGCCUAUCGCCAUAACAUAGGCCCAGAUCGGAUUAGCUAGUUGGUGGGGUAAAGGCACACCUAGGCGACGAUCCGUAGCUGGUCUGAGAGGAUGAUCAGCCACACUGGAACUGAGACACGGUCCAGACUCCUACGGGAGGCAGCAGUGGGGAAUAUUGCACAAUGGGCGAAAGCCUGAUGCAGCCAUGCCGCGUGUGUGAAGAAGGCCUUCGGAUUGUAAAGCACUUUAAGCGGGGAGGAAGGGGGUGAGCUUAAUACCUUCAUCAAUUGACGUUACUCGCAGAAGAAGCACCGGCUAACUCCGUG